RNAcentral lists this ribosomal RNA (468 nucleotides) under uncultured bacterium. RNAcentral's name for it is "partial 16S ribosomal RNA". It matches the Rfam family "Bacterial small subunit ribosomal RNA", at positions 28 to 507 of the family's 1533-position model. The record is from RNAcentral.
GACGAACGCUGGCGGCGCGCUUAACACAUGCAAGUCGAACGGAAAGGCCCAGCUUUUGUGGGGUGCUCGAGUGGCGAACGGGUGAGUAACAUGUGAGUAACCUGCCCUUGACUUUGGGAUAACUUCAGGAAACUGGGGCUACUACCGGAUAGGAGCUCCUGCUGCUUGGUGGGGGUUGGAAAGUUUCGGCGGUUGGGGAUGGACUCGCGGCUUAUCAGCUUGUUGGUGGGGUAGUGGCUUACCAAUGCUUUGACGGGUAGCCGGCCUGAGAGGGUGACCGGCCACAUUGGGACUGAGAUACGGCCCAGACUGCUACGGGAGGCAGCAGUGGGGAAUAUUGCACAAUGGGCGGAAGCCUGAUGCAGCAACUCCGCGUGGGGGAUGACUGCCUUCGUGUUGUAAACCGCUUUCGCCUGUGACGAAGCGUGAGUGACGGUAAUGGGUAAAGAAACACCGGCUAACUACGUG